GAAUGGAAGCUGCAGUUCCUCCAACCAACUCAAACACGUUGGAGCUCCCUGUUCCUGGCUGUGGAGAGAGUUGUACGCAUUCAGAAAGAGCAAGGAGAGGCAGCAAUUCAGAAUGUCUGCACAGCACUGAAGAUAAAGAUGUUUAAUCCUGCUGAAUUUGAAUUUUUGGCUGAGUACACUGCUGUCAUGAAACCUGUUGCCAUGGCCCUCAACAUCCUUCAAGGGGAAACGUCUGUGCACAUGGGAUUUUUGCUGCCAACACUUUACCAGUUGCAGGAGAAGCUAAUAAGGCUGGAGUUAUCCUGCAAAGUCUGAAGAUCUCUAGUAGAUGCCCUGCUCAAUGGGAUUCAGAAACGUUUUGGAGGCGCCAUGGAGGACCCUGAGCUGAUUGCAGCAGCAAUACUCUUACCUCUUAUACUCUUAAGAUUUCGAACAUUGUGGACAACAAAGGAGUGCAUCUUAAAAGCUGGACUUGACUUCAUUAGAAAUCACCUAGACACAGACUCCGAUGAUGGCAGCACAAACAGCAGUCGCUAUGAUGAAGAUGACUUCUUUGCAUCCAUGAAAUCAGGAAAACCACAAGCAGGAGAGCUGGAGAGGUACCUUUCAUGUCCAUCCUCUGAAGGUAUGGAUCUACUGCACACCUUUCCUCACAUCAAGAAGCUCUCACUGAAACUCAACACUGGUCUUCCUGC
Molecule: long non-coding RNA, 695 nt
Organism: Melanotaenia boesemani (Boeseman's rainbowfish)
Lineage: Eukaryota; Metazoa; Chordata; Actinopteri; Atheriniformes; Melanotaeniidae
Exons: 3
Source: RefSeq, a predicted model, not a curated record